UCGUAACCAAGGUUUCCGUAGGUGAACCUGCGGAAGGAUCAUUG
Molecule: ribosomal RNA, 44 nt
Filed under: Vigna unguiculata (cowpea)
Lineage: Eukaryota; Viridiplantae; Streptophyta; Magnoliopsida; Fabales; Fabaceae
Description: partial small subunit ribosomal RNA
Source: RNAcentral